This 314-nucleotide unclassified non-coding RNA is filed under the name plant metagenome. RNAcentral's name for it is "partial contains 5.8S ribosomal RNA, internal transcribed spacer 2, and large subunit ribosomal RNA". The stretch from base 1 to 105 matches the Rfam family "5.8S ribosomal RNA", at positions 50 to 154 of the family's 154-position model. The record is from RNAcentral.
GAAAUGCGAUAAUUAAUGUGAAUUGCAGAAUUCAGUGAAUCAUCGAGUCUUUGAACGCACAUUGCGCCCCCUGGUAUUCCGGGGGGCAUGCCUGUCCGAGCGUCAUUGCUGCCCUCAAGCACGGCUUGUGUGUUGGGCUUCCGUCCCUGGCAACGGGGACGGGCCCAAAAGGCAGUGGCGGCACCAUGUCUAGUCCUCGAGCGUAUGGGCCUUUGUCACCCGCUCCCGUAGGUCCAGCUGGCAGCUAGCCUCGCAACCAAUCUUUUUAACCAGGUUGACCUCGGAUCAGGUAGGGAUACCCGCUGAACUUAAGC